AUCCGAAUGACGAGUCAAAAAUAGGACAAAACACGUGUCUUGGAU
Schistosoma haematobium is the source of this 45-nucleotide non-coding RNA. The record is from Rfam. NCBI's taxonomy places the organism in Eukaryota, Metazoa, Platyhelminthes, Trematoda, Strigeidida, Schistosomatidae.